RNAcentral lists this transfer RNA (70 nucleotides) under bovine gut metagenome. It matches the Rfam family "tRNA". Rfam says of the family: Transfer RNA (tRNA) molecules are approximately 80 nucleotides in length. Their secondary structure includes four short double-helical elements and three loops (D, anti-codon, and T loops). The record is from RNAcentral.
CCGAUAUAGCUCAGCUGGUAGAGCGCAUCCUUGGUAAGGAUGAGGCCACGGGUUCAAGUCCCGUUAUUGG